Long non-coding RNA from Dreissena polymorpha, 492 nucleotides. RefSeq lists it as uncharacterized. Lineage: Eukaryota; Metazoa; Mollusca; Bivalvia; Myida; Dreissenidae. The record is from RefSeq and is a predicted model, not a curated record. The transcript has 3 exons.
AAAACGAUAAUUUCGUUCGGUCAAAGGAAUUUUCUGGCGGUCAAGUUAAAUGAGGCGUUCGAACACAAACAUUGCGUCUUGCGUUUUGUUUCGGAGAUCUUCAUUAAAGUUCAAAUUCACCACUAUUGUUGACAAGACCCAGCCCUCAACAGACAACCCACAUUUCUAGUGCCAUGGGGAAUCGGCAAGGUUGUCUUCUGACAGACCACACACGAUAGUUCCAGAAGCCCUCAAGCAAGUCUUUCUGAACACAAACAGUUACAUGGAGUUUUUCAUAAAAACAUUGCUUCGAAUGCCAGUGGCUGCCAUGAGGGAGGGUGCACCAAGCCUUCGACGAUGACAUCAGCCAUGGCCAAAGAACAUUAUGAUGAUUAGUUAACUUUCUAUAUAACUGUUAAUUGUGUUAAUAGUUACAACUAAUAAGGUUUACAAUUUUAAUCUUACCUUAUACACUUUAAAUUAUGACUUUUAUUGUGUCAUCCUCAAAAUAAG